GAUGAACGCUGGCGGCGUGCUUAACACAUGCAAGUCGAACGAUGAAGCCCAGCUUGCUGGGUGGAUUAGUUGCGAACGGGUGAGUAACACGUGAGUAACCUGCCCUUAACUCUGGGAUAAGCCUGGGAAACUGGGUCUAAUACCGGAUAGGAGCGUCCACCGCAUGGUGGGUGUUGGAAAGAUUUAUCGGUUUUGGAUGGACUCGCGGCCUAUCAGCUUGUUGGUGAGGUAAUGGCUCACCAAGGCGACGACGGGUAGCCGGCCUGAGAGGGUGACCGGCCACACUGGGACUGAGACACGGCCCAGACUCCUACGGGAGGCAGCAGUGGGGAAUAUUGCACAAUGGGCGCAAGCCUGAUGCAGCGACGCCGCGUGAGGGAUGACGGCCUUCGGGUUGUAAACCUCUUUCAGUAGGGAAGAAGCGAAAGUGACGGUACCUGCAGAAGAAGCACCGGCUAACUACGUG
This 466-nucleotide ribosomal RNA is filed under the name uncultured bacterium. RNAcentral's name for it is "partial 16S ribosomal RNA". It matches the Rfam family "Bacterial small subunit ribosomal RNA", at positions 28 to 507 of the family's 1533-position model. The record is from RNAcentral.